GUUUCUGUAGUUAAAUUGUUAUAGCGGCAGCUUUUCAGGCUGCAGGUCUCGGAGAGAGUCCGGGCGGAAACU
This 72-nucleotide transfer RNA is filed under the name Phylloscopus sibilatrix. RNAcentral's name for it is "tRNA-Glu". It matches the Rfam family "tRNA". Rfam says of the family: Transfer RNA (tRNA) molecules are approximately 80 nucleotides in length. The record is from RNAcentral. Lineage: Eukaryota; Metazoa; Chordata; Aves; Passeriformes; Phylloscopidae. RNAcentral also lists the same sequence under 1 other name.